UUUCAUUAAAUAGACGGCCAGCCGAAUGAACAGAGAAGCUAUAGAGGUUGGCAGUAAGUCUCUGAAGUAGCUCUGGUCAGACCUGACUGCACCAGAAAACUAUGUUUCUGAAAAACGCCCAGGAACCCGAGGCAUUGAGUCUGUAGAUACAGCGGCUGGCUGUCUCACUGUGGGGACUCUUGGAGCGGGAUAUAGGAAAUGAAGUGACAAGACUGUCAGCUUUGCCGUUACUCCUGGAGCCUUGUGAAGAAGUGUCUCUACCAUGAAAAUACGGUCCCUGUGUGGUGGGGUUAUCUUCAGGCCUCUUUUCCCAUUUAUAGUUUGCUGGGAAGUCAAAAGGAAAAGGAGGAAGGAGAUUCUCAAAAUCAGAGAGGAGGAGCAAGGAAAGGUCACUCUGCCUUAAAUUUGCCAGUUUUCCUGAAAAUAAUUUUUCUUUGUAUACAUAUUGCAGUUGCUUCCUCCUUCAUCUCAGGUAAACCUAUUGACCAUUGUGCCUUCUUGUGUGAUUUACAAUAACAUAAUAUUUAUGUAUACACAGAGAGCUUUUGCAAUAGAAGGUGUGCCUUGAGAACUGCAGAGUGCGUCUUCCCUGAACCUAACACCGGACCAGAGUUAAGAGUUGCUCAAUAAAUGCAUGUUGAAUUAAUUUCACUUUUUCUUUUUCUAGAGGAUCUCUAUUGCUCAGGCUGGAGUGGUGGGGUACAACCAUGGCUCACCGUGGCCUCGACUCCCAGGCUCAAGCGAUCCUCCCUCUUCAGCCUCCCAAGUAGCUGGGACCACAGGCAUGCCAACAUGCCUGGCUAAUUUUUUAAUUUUUUGUUGAGACAAAGUCUUGCUAUGUUGCCCGGGCUGGUCUUGAACUCCUGGGCUCAAGCAUUUCUCCUGCCUCGGCGUUUCAAAGUGUGAGAUGAUAGGUGUAAGUCACUAUGCUCGGCCGGAUUUGAUUUUAGACCCUGGGGAACCCAUCUUUGGACUGUUUCUCAAAGAGAGGGCAGAUAUUAUUCAGCAGAAUCCUCAUUGAGCAUUGGUCUUACUGUGAGAAUUACUGUGUUUGUGUACACCAAAGCUUGACUAUGUAAACCUGAACUAAGUGUAAGAGCCCUUCUGGUAGGAAAAAAAAAAAAUGACACUGUAUUAGAAAGACAAAAUCAGACAGCCUAACCAAACUAUGUUUUUGUCAAUAAAUGUUCAAAUUCCAUGGUCUAUUUUUAUUUUCUUACAUAGCUUUAUUUAAAAUCCUAGAUUGACUUGUUUUUUGUUGAUACUGUUCCUUUGUUAAAAUCUUGGAAAACCAUUUGUUGAGUUUUAUGACUUAGGAGCUAAAACUGAUGGGUCUCAUGACCAGUUUAUUGGUUCUUUUGGCCACCUUUAGGUCAAUUAUGUAAUGUUUUCUUCUUACUUUUGUGUGGGGGGAAAGCAAGCCACCUUUGCUUUCAUGAUUUUGUUUUUCAACGUUUGAGAUUGUUAGAGGUACGUGUGAUGAAGGUCAAUACUUAAUAAACAGUGCAUUGGUUGUUGG
Molecule: long non-coding RNA, 1519 nt
Filed under: Homo sapiens (human)
Lineage: Eukaryota; Metazoa; Chordata; Mammalia; Primates; Hominidae
Description: HSALNT0296952
Source: RNAcentral